GAUGAACGCUGGCGGCGUGCCUAAUACAUGCAAGUCGAGCGAACGGACGAGAAGCUUGCUUUUCUGAUGUUAGCGGCGGACGGGUGAGUAACACGUGGAUAACCUACCUAUAAGACUGGGAUAACUUCGGGAAACCGGAGCUAAUACCGGAUAAUAUUUUGAACCGCAUGGUUCAAAAGUGAAAGACGGUCUUGCUGUCACUUAUAGAUGGAUCCGCGCUGCACUAGCUAGUUGGUAAGGUAACGGCUUACCAAGGCAACGAUGCAUAGCCGACCUGAGAGGGUGAUCGGCCACACUGGAACUGAGACACGGUCCAGACUCCUACGGGAGGCAGCAGUAGGGAAUCUUCCGCAAUGGGCGAAAGCCUGACGGAGCAACGCCGCGUGAGUGAUGAAGGUCUUCGGAUCGUAAAACUCUGUUAUUAGGGAAGAACAUAUGUGUAAGUAACUGUGCACAUCUUGACGGUACCUAAUCAGAAAGCCACGGCUAACUACGUGCCAGCAGCCGCGGUAAUACGUAGGUGGCAAGCGUUAUCCGGAAUUAUUGGGCGUAAAGCGCGCGUAGGCGGUUUUUUAAGUCUGAUGUGAAAGCCCACGGCUCAACCGUGGAGGGCCAUUGGAAACUGGAAAACUUGAGUGCAGAAGAGGAAAGUGGAAUUCCAUGUGUAGCGGUGAAAUGCGCAGAGAUAUGGAGGAACACCAGUGGCGAAGGCGACUUUCUGGUCUGUAACUGACGCUGAUGUGCGAAAGCGUGGGGAUCAAACAGGAUUAGAUACCCUGGUAGUCCACGCCGUAAACGAUGAGUGCUAAGUGUUAGGGGGUUUCCGCCCCUUAGUGCUGCAGCUAACGCAUUAAGCACUCCGCCUGGGGAGUACGACCGCAAGGUUGAAACUCAAAGGAAUUGACGGGGACCCGCACAAGCGGUGGAGCAUGUGGUUUAAUUCGAAGCAACGCGAAGAACCUUACCAAAUCUUGACAUCCUUUGACAACUCUAGAGAUAGAGCCUUCCCCUUCGGGGGACAAAGUGACAGGUGGUGCAUGGUUGUCGUCAGCUCGUGUCGUGAGAUGUUGGGUUAAGUCCCGCAACGAGCGCAACCCUUAAGCUUAGUUGCCAUCAUUAAGUUGGGCACUCUAAGUUGACUGCCGGUGACAAACCGGAGGAAGGUGGGGAUGACGUCAAAUCAUCAUGCCCCUUAUGAUUUGGGCUACACACGUGCUACAAUGGACAAUACAAAGGGCAGCGAAACCGCGAGGUCAAGCAAAUCCCAUAAAGUUGUUCUCAGUUCGGGUUGUAGUCUGCAACUCGACUACAUGAAGCUGGAAUCGCUAGUAACCGUAGAUCAGCAUGCUACGGUGAAUACGUUCCCGGGUCU
This 1372-nucleotide ribosomal RNA is filed under the name uncultured bacterium. RNAcentral describes it as "bacterial SSU rRNA". It matches the Rfam family "Bacterial small subunit ribosomal RNA", at positions 28 to 1381 of the family's 1533-position model. The record is from RNAcentral.